AACAUUCAGGAAGUGAUCCGGGAGCGGGUUAGCGUGGAGAAAGCCGUGGUGGUGGAAGAAGAACUGAUCAAGGACACCCGAGCCUUUGCCACCGCCGAACGCGAAAAAUCCGUAGCCAUCAAGCACGCCGAGCAGGUAGCCGAAGAAGCCCUGGUGCAGCAAAUUAAAUCUGCGGAAGCCGCCAAACGGGCCGCCGAACUGCUGGCCGAGCAGGCCAUUAUUCAGGCCAACGCCGACCGGCAGGCUGCUGAGAAGCACGCCGAAGCCAAGAAGAUGCUGGCCGACGCCCGGGUAAAAGAAGAAGCCGC
This 308-nucleotide unclassified non-coding RNA is filed under the name plant metagenome. RNAcentral describes it as "partial contains 5.8S ribosomal RNA, internal transcribed spacer 2, and large subunit ribosomal RNA". The record is from RNAcentral.